AGAGGGGUGCGAGCGUUAAUCGGAAUUACUGGGCGUAAAGGGUGCGUAGGUGGGCCUUUCAAGUCAGAUGUGAAAGUCCUGGGCUUAACCUAGGAACUGCAUUUGAAACUGAGAGGCUAGAGUUUGGAAGAGGGAAGUGGAAUUUCCGGUGUAGCGGUGAAAUGCGUAGAUAUCGGAAGGAACACCAGUGGCGAAGGCGACUUUCUGGUCCGACACUGACACUGAGGCACGAAAGCGUGGGGAGCAAACAGGAUUAGAUACCCUGGUAGUCCACGCUGUAAACGAUGAGAACUAGAUGUUAUUUGGCUUAUGUCAGAUAGUAUCGUAGCAAACGCGUUAAGUUCUCCGCCUGGGGAGUACGGCCGCAAGGUUA
Molecule: ribosomal RNA, 373 nt
Filed under: uncultured organism
Description: partial 16S ribosomal RNA
Rfam family: Bacterial small subunit ribosomal RNA
Source: RNAcentral